CCUACGGGUGGCAGCAGUGGGGAAUAUUGCACAAUGGGGGAAACCCUGAUGCAGCGAAGCCGCGUGAGUGAAGAAGUAUUUCGGUAUGUAAAGCCCUAUCAGCAGGGAAGAGAAUGACGGUACCUGACUAAGAAGCCCCGGCUAACUACGUGCCAGCAGCCGCGGUACUACGUAGGGGGCAAGCGUUAUCCGGAUUUACUGGGUGUAACGGGAGCGUAGACGGUUGUGCAAGUCUGAAGUGAAAGCCCGGGGCUCAACUGCGGAACGGCGUUUGAAACUGUGUAACUGGAGUGCUGGAGAGGUAAGCGGAAUUCCUGGUGUAGCGGUGAAAUGCGUAGAGAUCAGGAGGAACACCGGCGGCGAAGGCGGCUUACUGGACAGUAACUGACGUUGAGGCUCGAAAGCGUGGGGAGCAAACAGGAUUAGAUACCCUUGUAGUC
Molecule: ribosomal RNA, 440 nt
Filed under: uncultured bacterium
Lineage: Bacteria
Description: partial 16S ribosomal RNA
Rfam family: Bacterial small subunit ribosomal RNA
Source: RNAcentral